UACGUAGGUGGCGAGCGUUGUCCGGAUUUACUGGGCGUAAAGAGCGCGCAGGCGGCUGGUCAAGUCCGAUGUGAAAGCUCCCGGCUUAACUGGGAAAUUGCAUCGGAAACUGAUCGGCUGGAAGGUGGGAGAGGGUAGCGGAAUUCCCGGUGUAGCGGUGAAAUGCGUAGAUAUCGGAAGGAACAUCAGUGGCGAAAGCGACUUCCUGGACCAAUACUGACGCUCAUGUGCGAAAGCGUGGGGAGCAAACAGG
RNAcentral lists this ribosomal RNA (253 nucleotides) under uncultured bacterium. RNAcentral describes it as "partial 16S ribosomal RNA". It matches the Rfam family "Bacterial small subunit ribosomal RNA", at positions 524 to 776 of the family's 1533-position model. The record is from RNAcentral.